This 278-nucleotide unclassified non-coding RNA is filed under the name Melitaea cinxia (Glanville fritillary). RNAcentral describes it as "misc RNA ENSMCXG00005021573.1". The record is from RNAcentral. Lineage: Eukaryota; Metazoa; Arthropoda; Insecta; Lepidoptera; Nymphalidae.
AAAAAAACUGCAAGCAGGAAAUAUCAUGCUCAAAAUCUUGAGCAGUCGGACUGAUUAUGUACCUCGAAUAAUACUGUUUUCAAGCAGUGUUGUGUUCCUGUAGUGAAUAAGAUGACCAGAGCUCCUAGGAGUAGGGUUGGCACCGUGCUUGCGAAGCUUCUAGAGUUGCAGGCGUGUCAUCAAAUCCUAUCUAAGAACACUUGCGUUAUCAAGACGAAUCUAAUGAUAUCUUAAUUAUAUAAAUCCGUUCAGCGCUUUAGAAAAUGUUUCUCAUAUUU